This is a long non-coding RNA of Panicum hallii, 1229 nucleotides long. RefSeq lists it as uncharacterized. The record is from RefSeq and is a predicted model, not a curated record. NCBI's taxonomy places the organism in Eukaryota, Viridiplantae, Streptophyta, Magnoliopsida, Poales, Poaceae. The transcript has 7 exons.
GGCGCGCCCAGCGCGUCGGUUUUCCUCCCGCGCAACCCGCUCCGGUUCUCUUCGCCCCGGUUUUCGUCCCGUGUUUUUUCUUUUCGCCGUCGACCCUAGGAGAGUUCGGCUUGCCUGCUCAGGAGCUUCCUCGGCACGCCCUCAAUCUCCGUUUGCUCCCGUGCGCCUGACCCAUCUCCCGUGCGCCGCCUCCUCGCAGACGGCGACAGCGCCCGCGCCGCCUCCCUCUCGCCACCGGCGUCGACGCCAGCUGCCUCCCGAAGCCCCCAGGCAGACCACUGUUUGUUGGUUCCUCCAUUCUUCAUCCAGCACUUCGGUUCGCAAUUUCAGUUGUCAAGUUUAAAUCCCUGAUGAGCUGCUACAGAUGCCCAUCCUUGACUGCCGAGCUCGGCGAGCGCGCGGUCGUGUGCACGGAGCGGACGUAUUGUGACGCACGGGAGGCAGCAAUGGUGUUCCACGGCCGCUUGCCUUGCUUGUUUGACUUUGAGUGAUUUGUUAGUUCCAUCCCCUCCAAAUUUCCCUGGUUUGUGCAGAUCUGGGUGGACACCAUAAUGCACCUUGCAUCUAAUUUGGCAUAUUUUGAUCUCCAUGUGCCUCUCAUAUGAAUUCAGGUGCUUCUGCAAUUGAGACCGAGUACAUGCUGUAUGGACGACUGAGCAAACACAUUGCAAUCUAUUUCGAUCGAUGGUGUGGGAAUCCAUGGGGAUCCCGUCCAUCCUGCAUCAACAGACACAAGCUCUUAUGCAGCUUGCAAUAUGCAUGCUCUUACGCAGAUUGUCAAAUGAAAAGACUCCAGCUUGAUAACAGCAAUGAAGCUUCUUCUGGUGACAUUACCAACACAGUAUUAUCUACAGAUGUGGAGAGCGAGGGGAAGAAUGUGGAACGCCAUCAGGGAGGUUGCCAAGUGAAAUGACAUGGCAUCUGCAAAGCAAGUUAGACGCUAGGACUGCUUGCUGGAGAUUGCACGUGCUGGAGUUGCUUGCUCGCUGGAGAUCUGCCAUUCUGGAGCCUGGAGUUGCUUGCUUGCCGGAGAUCGCGUGCAGACUUAACAGAGUUUCGUGCACAAAUAUUCGUUGGUCAAUCUGAAACAAUCCUUUUCUGUACAUAAAAGCAAUCAGCCGUAUGAGGGGCACAAGAACAUGGAUUACAAACGGAAUUAGUUUGCUUUCGAUCACAAAUACUCAUAUUUUUACAACAUCGAUGAAUGAAUAGAGCAUGUGCUUGCAAUA